CAGUAAGACACAGCUGUGGCACCAAACAGACAGAGGUAAUAAUCAGAGAGAACAGUUCAUGUUCAUCAACACACAGCUGCUGUGUGGAGUUUUACACAGAAAACAACAGAGACAGAUGUUCACAUCUUAAACCACCAGAGACAAUGCUCUGAGAAACAUUUGAAACUUCUGAAUGUGUAGAGAUUCAUUCAGCUUCCAUCAGCCUGAUUGGAAACAGAGCACAGCAAGAGGAGGAGCUACACAACUGAAUAUGAAAGGCUUCAUUUUGGAACUGAAGAGCUGCUGUGUUCUCUCUAUUCUUCAUUCAGGACAAGUCAAAUGAUGCUACUGCUUUUAGUUUGGAUGAUGAUAGUCUCCUUUCAUACUGGAUCCUCUGAGGAUUUAGUGAAACCAUCUAAAGAUGUAAUGAUGGCUUUAGAAGGAGACACUGUGACUCUCUCCUGCAGCUAUUCUCAGUCUGUACAAAGCCUCUACUGGUAUCAACAGAAGUUCAGUUCAUCUCCACA
Long non-coding RNA from Lates calcarifer (barramundi perch), 506 nucleotides. RefSeq lists it as uncharacterized. The record is from RefSeq and is a predicted model, not a curated record. The transcript has 3 exons. Lineage: Eukaryota; Metazoa; Chordata; Actinopteri; Centropomidae.